GAUGAACGCUGGCGGCGUGCUUAAUACAUGCAAGUCGAACGGAGUGUUAGCAAUAGCACUUAGUGGCGAACGGGUGAGUAACGCGUUGGUGACCUGCCCUAGAUCGUGGGAUAACAGUUCGAAAGGACUGCUAAUACCGCAUGAAGUUACGGGAGUUAGAGAGCCGUAACGAAAGGCGAAAGUCGAUAUAGGAGGGACCUGCGUCCCAUCAGCUAGUUGGUGAGGUAACGGCCCACCAAGGCGACGACGGGUAGGGGGCCUGAGAGGGUGACCCCCCACACUGGCACUGAAACACGGGCCAGACACCUACGGGUGGCAG
This 319-nucleotide ribosomal RNA is filed under the name uncultured Chloroflexota bacterium. Its description in RNAcentral is "bacterial SSU rRNA". It matches the Rfam family "Bacterial small subunit ribosomal RNA", at positions 28 to 351 of the family's 1533-position model. Lineage: Bacteria; Bacillati; Chloroflexota. The record is from RNAcentral.